This 666-nucleotide ribosomal RNA is filed under the name uncultured Micromonosporaceae bacterium. RNAcentral describes it as "bacterial SSU rRNA". It matches the Rfam family "Bacterial small subunit ribosomal RNA", at positions 136 to 816 of the family's 1533-position model. The record is from RNAcentral. Lineage: Bacteria; Bacillati; Actinomycetota; Actinomycetes; Micromonosporales; Micromonosporaceae.
CUUUGGGAUAACCCUCGGAAACGGGGGCUAAUACCGGAUAUGACCGCUGCCCGCAUGGGUGGUGGUGGAAAGAUUUUUCGGCUGAGGUUGGACUCGCGGCCUAUCAGCUUGUUGGUGGGGUGAUGGCCUACCAAGGCGACGACGGGUAGCCGGCCCGAGAGGGCGACCGGCCACACUGGGACUGAGACACGGCCCAGACUCCUACGGGAGGCAGCAGUGGGGAAUAUUGCACAAUGGGCGGAAGCCUGAUGCAGCGACGCCGCGUGAGGGAUGAAGGCCUUCGGGUUGUAAACCUCUUUCAGCAGGGACGAAGCGUAAGUGACGGUACCUGCAGAAGAAGCGCCGGCCAACUGCGUGCCAGCAGCCGCGGUAAGACGUAGGGCGCGAGCGUUGUCCGGAUUUAUUGGGCGUAAAGAGCUCGUAGGCGGCUUGUUGUGUCGACCGUGAAAACCCGGGGCUCAACUUCGGGCUUGCGGUCGAUACGGGCGGGCUAGAGUUCGGUAGGGGAGACUGGAAUUCCUGGUGUAGCGGUGAAAUGCGCAGAUAUCAGGAGGAACACCGGUGGCGAAGGCGGGUCUCUGGGCCGAUACUGACGCUGAGGAGCGAAAGCGUGGGGAGCGGACAAGAUUAGAUACCCUGGUAGUCCACGCUGUAAACGUUGGGCGC